Molecule: ribosomal RNA, 253 nt
Filed under: uncultured bacterium
Lineage: Bacteria
Description: partial 16S ribosomal RNA
Rfam family: Bacterial small subunit ribosomal RNA
Source: RNAcentral
UACGAAGGGGGCUAGCGUUGCUCGGAAUGACUGGGCGUAAAGGGCGCGUAGGCGGUUCACGCAGUCAGAUGUAAAAUUCCUGGGCUCAACCUGGGGGCUGCAUUUGAUACGCGUGGACUGGAGUGGGGAAGAGGGACACGGAAUUCCGGGUGGAGUGGUGAAAUGCGUAGAGAUCCGGAGGAACACCAAAGGCGAAGGCAGUGUCCUGGGGAGUACCUGACGCUCAGGUGCGAAAGCCAGGGGAGCGAACGGG